AGUGAACGCUGGCGGUAGGCCUAACACAUGCAAGUCGAACGGCAGCACAGUAAGAGCUUGCUCUUACGGGUGGCGAGUGGCGGACGGGUGAGGAACACAUCGGAAUCUACUUUUUCGUGGGGGAUAACGUAGGGAAACUUACGCUAAUACCGCAUACGACCUACGGGUGAAAGCAGGGGAUCUUCGGACCUUGCGCGAUUGAAUGAGCCGAUGUCGGAUUAGCUAGUUGGCGGGGUAAAGGCCCACCAAGGCGACGAUCCGUAGCUGGUCUGAGAGGAUGAUCAGCCACACUGGAACUGAGACACGGUCCAGACUCCUACGGGAGGCAGCAGUGGGGAAUAUUGGACAAUGGGCGCAAGCCUGAUCCAGCCAUACCGCGUGGGUGAAGAAGGCCUUCGGGUUGUAAAGCCCUUUUGUUGGGAAAGAAAAGCAGCAGGUUAAUACCCCGCUGUUCUGACGGUACCCAAGGAAUAAGCACCGGCUAACUUCGUG
RNAcentral lists this ribosomal RNA (492 nucleotides) under uncultured bacterium. RNAcentral describes it as "partial 16S ribosomal RNA". It matches the Rfam family "Bacterial small subunit ribosomal RNA", at positions 29 to 507 of the family's 1533-position model. The record is from RNAcentral.